Long non-coding RNA from Herpailurus yagouaroundi (jaguarundi), 556 nucleotides. RefSeq lists it as uncharacterized. NCBI's taxonomy places the organism in Eukaryota, Metazoa, Chordata, Mammalia, Carnivora, Felidae. The record is from RefSeq and is a predicted model, not a curated record. The transcript has 3 exons.
UGCUCAGCGAGGAUCCAGAUCCACAGCCCUGGGAUGAUGACCUGCGCUGAAAUCGAGAGUCGGAUGCUCGACCAAGUGAGCCACCCAGGUGCCUCUCACAGCACCUUUUUGGAUGAAAUGAUUAAGGCAAAGGAACCCAAAGUAUAGCCACACUGCUCUGCAUCACCCUAGGCCGCUAGCUUCACGAGGACAUGUACCACCCCUGCUUUAGUCCGUCAUUAUGAUGCCAGCACCUGUCACGAUGCCUGACAUGGCUUCUGGAAUCCCCCUGGACUCAAAAAGCCUUCGAGAAAACAAAAGUGGAACCGAUGGACAGUAGAGCACCGCGGCUGAGGGCCAGCUCACCAGCACUGCGAGGCAGAGCCACUGUCCAGGGACCGCACGGUGCUGAGAUCCGUGGCUUGCUGGGCUGAAGGAGAAGCACCCACUAAUUGGUUCAGACCACAAAGGUCAACCCCACGAGCAUCCAGUAAGACAGGCACGAUGAAAGCCACACAAGCCGGGAGAGAAGAAAGUAGCUGUGGUGAGUGGGGCUGGGUGUGAUUAGAAGUGCCAA